RNAcentral lists this ribosomal RNA (405 nucleotides) under Bitis arietans (puff adder). RNAcentral describes it as "partial 16S ribosomal RNA". It matches the Rfam family "Bacterial large subunit ribosomal RNA", at positions 1970 to 2592 of the family's 2925-position model. Lineage: Eukaryota; Metazoa; Chordata; Lepidosauria; Squamata; Viperidae. The record is from RNAcentral.
UNUCUAUUAAUUGUANNNCCGUAUGAAAGGCAAAAUGAGAGCCUAACUGUCUCUUAUAACAAAUCAAUUAAACUGAUCUCCCAGUACAAAAGCUGGGAUACCCACAUAAGACCAGAAGACCCUGUGAAGCUUUAACUAACCUAUUAAACCACAUAAUAGCUAGUUUCGGUUGGGGCGACCUUGGAAUAAAAAAGAACUUCCAAAAAAUAUGACCUCCUCAUAUAAAAGGCAGACAAGCCACUAUUAGACCCAGAACUUCUGAUACAUGAACCAAGUUACUCCAGGGAUAACAGCGCUAUCUUCUUUAAGAGCCCAUAUCAAAAAGAAGGUUUACGACCUCGAUGUUGGAUCAGGACAUCCUAGUAAUGCAACAGUUACUAAGGGUUCGUUUGUUCAACGAUUAAU